AUUUGAACCAGUUUUUAGGUUAAUUUCUGGGUUUACUAUCAAUGCAUCAUUCAGUUUAUUUAAAUUUGGACCACAUAUCUAACAGUGGUUUAGGACUUGAGUUUUUCUUUUUGCCAGUAAUUUUCUCUCUUUUGAUUCAAAGCUGAAGACAUGAGAUACAUUGCUUUAUGGAUAAUAGCUACUUUUUCUAACCCAUGAGGAUAAAAUGAAAUCUGAAUUCCAACUGCUCCCCACCAUGUUGUUUUUAAAUGAGCAUUACAGUUUUAGCACUGGGCUUAUAGGAUUCUAUGCCUUCUCUAACACCUGAGGGUUGGCACUGAAUUACUUUUAGAUUAUUGUCCUUGUACUGAUGUUAUUUCUCCUUUCUAUGGAGAUCUCUUGUCUUAUUGUGAUUUAUUUAAUAUUUUCCAUUUUAUCCAGAAUUUUUAGGUACUUAAAAUACAAAGUUCAUCAGUUCAGUAUUCAUGAUGCAAAACGUUGGCCUCAGAGUUUUCUGUAGUAACAUUUAGUAAAAGAAAACAAAAGAAUAUUGUCAACAUAGCUCUAAAGUAAAUAAGCCAUCACUGGGAUCCACUGGAACUGGCCAGGCUUCUUUAUGUAGCUUGAGCUUCCUCACAAUAUGGUGAAUGAGUACCAUAAGAGAAACCAGACAGAGGCUACAUUACCACUUAUGUCAUAAUUUUUCUAGUAAUUUUAUUAGAAUAUGUUCCAGUGUGCUUCUUUUGGAUCAAUUUCUCAGAUCAAAAAAGCCAGAGAAGACAGAAACCAUUAAAAUGACAGCUAGUAGAAAUAAGAAGACACCUGG
RNAcentral lists this long non-coding RNA (805 nucleotides) under Heterocephalus glaber (naked mole-rat). RNAcentral describes it as "lncRNA (ENSHGLG00100044546.1)". The record is from RNAcentral. Lineage: Eukaryota; Metazoa; Chordata; Mammalia; Rodentia; Bathyergidae.